This 179-nucleotide ribosomal RNA is filed under the name uncultured bacterium. Its description in RNAcentral is "partial 16S ribosomal RNA". It matches the Rfam family "Bacterial small subunit ribosomal RNA", at positions 338 to 508 of the family's 1533-position model. The record is from RNAcentral.
CCUACGGGAGGCAGCAGUGAGGAAUUUUGGGCAAUGGGCGCAAGCCUGACCCAGCGACGCCGCGUGGAGGAUGAAGGCCUUCGGGUCGUAAACUCCUGUUCUGAGGGAAGAAAACGGGAUGAGCGAAUAACUCAUUCCGCUGACGGUACCUCAGGAGUAAGCUCCGGCUAAUUACGUGC